RNAcentral lists this ribosomal RNA (467 nucleotides) under uncultured bacterium. RNAcentral describes it as "partial 16S ribosomal RNA". It matches the Rfam family "Bacterial small subunit ribosomal RNA", at positions 28 to 507 of the family's 1533-position model. The record is from RNAcentral.
GACGAACGCUGGCGGCGUGCUUAACACAUGCAAGUCGAACGGAAAGGCCUCUUUCGGGGGGUACUCGAGUGGCGAACGGGUGAGUAACACGUGAGUAACCUGCCCUUGACUUUGGGAUAACUUCAGGAAACUGGGGCUAAUACCGGAUAGGAGCUCCUGCUGCAUGGUGGGGGUUGGAAAGUUUCGGCGGUUGAGGAUGGACUCGCGGCUUAUCAGCUUGUUGGUGGGGUAGUGGCUUACCAAGGCUUUGACGGGUAGCCGGCCUGAGAGGGUGACCGGCCACAUUGGGACUGAGAUACGGCCCAGACUCCUACGGGAGGCAGCAGUGGGGAAUAUUGCACAAUGGGUGGAAGCCUGAUGCAGCAACGCCGUGUGCGGGAUGACGGCCUUCGGGUUGGAAACCGCUUUCGCUCAUGACGAAGCUUUGUGUGACGGUAGUGGGUAAAGAAGCACCGGCUAACUACGUG